RNAcentral lists this ribosomal RNA (623 nucleotides) under uncultured bacterium. RNAcentral describes it as "bacterial SSU rRNA". It matches the Rfam family "Bacterial small subunit ribosomal RNA", at positions 338 to 954 of the family's 1533-position model. The record is from RNAcentral.
CCUACGGGAGGCAGCAGUGGGGAAUUUUGGACAAUGGGCGCAAGCCUGAUCCAGCCAUGCCGCGUGCGGGAAGAAGGCCUUCGGGUUGUAAACCGCUUUUGUCAGGGAAGAAAUCCUUUGGGUUAAUACCUCGGAGGGAUGACGGUACCUGAAGAAUAAGCACCGGCUAACUACGUGCCAGCAGCCGCGGUAAUACGUAGGGUGCGAGCGUUAAUCGGAAUUACUGGGCGUAAAGCGUGCGCAGGCGGUUAUGCAAGACAGAUGUGAAAUCCCCGGGCUCAACCUGGGAACUGCAUUUGUGACUGCAUAGCUAGAGUACGGUAGAGGGGGAUGGAAUUCCGCGUGUAGCAGUGAAAUGCGUAGAUAUGCGGAGGAACACCGAUGGCGAAGGCAAUCCCCUGGACCUGUACUGACGCUCAUGCACGAAAGCGUGGGGAGCAAACAGGAUUAGAUGCCCUGGUAGUCCACGCCCUAAACGAUGUCAACUGGUUGUUGGACGGCUUGCUGUUCAGUAACGAAGCUAACGCGUGAAGUUGACCGCCUGGGGAAGUCGGCCGCAAGGUUGAAACUUCAAAANAGAGUUAGAGGCGNGAGAGNGCGACGGACGACGACGAGGGAGGAGG